This is a non-coding RNA of Chrysemys picta bellii (western painted turtle), 4430 nucleotides long. The record is from RefSeq and is a predicted model, not a curated record. Lineage: Eukaryota; Metazoa; Chordata; Testudines; Emydidae.
GGGAGGGAGUGUUAGUGUGGAGCUGAGGGCAGAGGUGCGGAAUGACUUAGUUUGGCCGCCCUGGGAGCCCGUCGCGGCUGCGACGUUUUGACGUGUGGAGGGGCGGGGCAGAGGUCGGCAUCAUGGCGGAGUCCAGCUGAGCGCGCGGGUUAGGCGAUUCUUUAUUCAAGAGAACUUAAGACAAAUUGCAUAAAUCAAGAUGCCUGCUGCUUGUGAUUCACUGCUUGAAGAUAUUGAGGAUAUUGUGUCAGCACAAGAUGUGAAACCACAUGACCGACAGUUUGCACGAAAGAAUGUUGUUCCUAAAGUGCGAAAACGCAGUUCACAAAAAAAUGUUCAGGCGGAUGAUGAUCCACCAAGUGAUAGCAUUAUUCCCGGUGCACAAAAAAUCUGGAUACGCACAUGGGGAUGUUCUCAUAAUAAUUCAGAUGGAGAAUAUAUGGCUGGACAGUUGGCUUCUUAUGGGUACAAAAUUACAGAGAACGCCGCAGAAGCAGACUUGUGGCUUCUUAACAGUUGCACGGUAAAAAGCCCAGCUGAAGAUCACUUCAGAAACUCAAUUAAGAAAGCCCAAGAAGACAACAAGAAAGUGGUUUUAGCUGGAUGUGUUCCACAAGCCCAGCCUCGUCAAGACUACCUCAAAGGUCUGAGCAUUAUAGGGGUUCAGCAAAUAGACCGUGUAGUAGAAGUUGUGGAGGAAACUAUUAAAGGUCACUCUGUGAGACUGCUGGGUCAGAAAAAAGAUAAUGGAAAACGGCUGGGGGGAGCUCGAUUGGAUUUGCCAAAGAUUAGGAAGAACCCACUGAUAGAAAUCAUUUCCAUCAAUACAGGGUGUCUCAAUGCAUGUACCUAUUGCAAAACCAAACAUGCCAGAGGAGACCUAGCAAGUUAUCCAAUUGAAGAACUAGUGGACAGGGCCAAACAGUCUUUUCAAGAGGGUGUUUGUGAGAUAUGGCUGACCAGCGAAGAUACAGGGGCUUAUGGCAGAGACAUUGGCACAGACCUUCCUACACUUCUGUGGAAGCUGGUUGACGUUAUUCCUGAGGGAGCUAUGCUGAGACUUGGCAUGACAAAUCCUCCCUAUAUUUUAGAGCAUCUGGAGGAAAUGGCAAAGAUUCUCAAUCAUCCAAGAGUAUAUGCUUUUCUUCACAUACCAGUCCAAUCUGCUUCUGACAGCAUACUCAUGGACAUGAAAAGAGAAUACUGUGUGGCAGACUUCAAACGGGUAGUGGAUUUCCUUAAAGAAAAAGUGCCUGGAAUAACAAUUGCUACAGACAUCAUCUGUGGUUUUCCAGGGGAGACAGAUGAAGAUUUUCAAGACACCAUGAAACUUGUAGAAGAGUACAGGUUUCCAAGCCUCUUUAUUAAUCAGUUUUACCCACGUCCAGGGACUCCUGCUGCAAAAAUACAUCAAGUUCCAGCCCUAGUGAAAAAGCAAAGAACAAAGGAUCUAUCCCAACUAUUUCAUUCAUACAGUCCUUAUGAUCAUAAGGUUGGUGAGAGACAGAGAGUUCUGGUAACAGAAGAAUCUUUUGAUUCCCAGUUUUAUGUUGCUCACAAUCAAUUCUACGAGCAGGUUCUCGUGCCAAAGGAUCCUGAAUUCAUGGGUAAAAUGGUAGAAGUGGACAUUUAUGAAGCAGGGAAACAUUUUAUGAAGGGGCGGCCAGUGUCAGAUGCCAAUGUGUUCACUCCAUCCAUCACCAGACCGCUAGCAAAAGGAGAGGUUUCCGGUAUAACAGAGGUGUGGCCCCAAUGGACACUGCUGGUCAAAAAUCUCCAACAAGUGCAUAGGGCGCAUGUGCACCAAGAGUGGAACCUGUGGACAACACAUCUUGAAGAACUACUGCUACUGUUAGGAGGUGGCUGUAUGUGGCAGAGCAAGUGGUCUUUGGCUAUGAAGACUUUGGGGAUCUUUUGGCACAAAAGGAAAAAUAUCCCGACUUUUGCAUGAUGGGAUAGCCAUUUCCAGCUCAGCUGUAGUAGCCAGCAGAAGAAACUCUACGCAACUGGAGACCAAGCUCAGUAACCAUGAAUAACGAGAGCCUGAAGAUCAUUCUCAAUCCCAGGCUUCAUACAGACCAAUACAAGGCACUGUUGCAAUACCAUUCCAGUUAAGUUUCUGCCUUACUUUUAAUUAUUCAUUACCAGUCAGAAUUCCUGUAGCUUUCUUAGCAGUUAUGUAUUCCAGAAGCCAAACAAAGAAUAACAAUGAAAGAAUUUGAAUCCAUUAUUUUAGCUAAAUAAUUCUAAAUGCCUCAUUCUAAAUUUUAUUUAAAAAUGAAUAUGUGAAUGCAAAGUAUUUUUUUUUGUUCAAUUAAGUUAUCACAUAUAUAUUGUGGGUAAGUCAGAUAUUUGCAAAAGUUUUUUCUUAAAAGUUGGAGAAUAGGGCAAGUUUAAAUAUUCACAGAUGUGAAAAUGAGCAUCUAAGCAUUUCAUUCCUCUACUGGGUAAAACAGAGCAGCUGAAUUUUCAUGUCUCUGGAGGGAGCAUGUACCCAGAUUUCAUUAUUCACAGGAGUCUUAUAUGAUUCCUCAGACACUGCAAUGAAAAAUAUAUUCCCAGUUGUAUUUCUUGUUAAAAAAUAUUUGUUAAAUGGAGGUUAUUUACCUGUAAGUGAGGGUACCCUCUCUGUAUUCCACACAUGGGUACAUAUGUGCCGCAUGUGCCUGAGACCAGAGAUUUCUAGCAAGUAGUAUCUAUUGGUCUGCAGUUUCUCCCCUCAUGCUGUGUACCAUAGGUAUAAAGUGGCAGUGUAGACCAAUGCCUCUCCAGUUACUCCUCUUAUCCCAAAGCAGAGGAGAAGAAGGGCAGAUAGUGGACUACAGAUCGGGACCACAAAUCUCAAAAAACCUCCAGUUCUUGGUAAGCAACUUCCACGUCUUCUCCAAGUGCAGGUUUCUAUGUGUAUUCAAACAGAAGUGGGGUGGAAGAAGGCAGUUGGUAUAGAUGUCUGUAAUACUGCUGUCCCAACAGCUGCAUCUGUAGAUGAGGUCUGGACUAAGGUGCAGUGUUUCAUGAAAGUAUGGCUGGAACUCCAGGUCUUAAAAAUGUCCAGAUAUUUUUGAAAGAAGAGAUGCUAUUGAGGUUGCCUGUGGUCUAGUGGAAUGGGCCCUCACCCCUCCAGGGAAGGAAUACACACCAACUAAUAAAGCAUGAUACAGCUGGAGAUCCACUCAGUUGCUGAGAAGAUAAUGCUUGAUCUCAUGAUCAUUCUACUAUAGCAACAAAUAGUCUAGGGCGGCAUUCUCCUAAUUGAUUUCAUUCUUUGCAGACAGAAGGCUAAAGCCCAUCUGAUGUUGAGAGAAUUAAGUCUCCUCUUCUUGUUGGAAGCAUGAUGUUUUGGAAAGAAUACUGAUUCCCAUGGAUGCCAGGAGAAGGUCAACCACACGACCUAAUCUUUAUGAAGACCCUGGGUGCUGUUACCAGGCCGAAUGGAAGUACUCUGAACUGGUGGUGGUCUUGUCCUAACAGAAAUUUGAAGAACCUUCUGUAGGACGGGUUAAUGUCAACAUGAAAGUAAGCAUCUUUCAAGUCAAGAACCACAAAUCAUAUGCACCUCUCCAGGAAAUAGAAUAACUGAAGCCAAUACAACUGUAACCAAAUGCACCCCUGUAUAUACACCCUAUACACUACUAUAGUAAUCUUUGUACAAAAUAGGCCUUGUAAGGUAUCAUAUGAAAACUAAUAACUCAGUGGUUAAUAACAUCAUGGUGACAUGUAUGUAGCAUCAUUAUAUAUAAAGUUAUGAAUUUCCCAUGUAUGAUGAUGAUAGCACAUGUUGAAACCCACAUAGCCUUGACUAGGCAUAAGUUGUUAAACAGGUCUAUCCUAAACAAAGAAAUGUGUUUACACCUCAACUUACAUGUAAGUGGUAAACAGGGGCCCUUGGGACAGCAAGAGGGGUAAAGCAGUUUCUCAAAGAUAAAGGACAAACUGAUGCCUCUAGCCAGGUAUCAUCAUCAGUUGACUGGCACUCACCAGUCAAGUGGCCUUUCUUUGACAAUGAAGUAGGGCAGGAACAGAUCAAACUGCAUUUUAGCAAGCAAACGCCAAGGAACCUCUUUCACCAUGAGACUUUGAGUCCAUCCUUGCAGCUGGAAGGAAUUUUAUCUAGGGCUAACCUUCAGGAAGAUGCAUUUCAAAGGAUGACUGCACUAUAAAAGUGAGAGAAACAUAACCUGGGGUGUGUUUGCCUUUCUCUCUCUUUCACCUAAGACAACAAAGGAACGAACAAGCCUUUUGACUUUGGAAGGGAUCCUAACAUGUAAAUUUGGUUAGCAACAUUGCUAACCAAAAUGUAAGGAUUUUACUUUGAAACAAGUUUAGUUUACGCUUCAGUAACUAGAACGCAUUUUAUCUUUUUCGCUUGUAACCAUUUCUGACUUUAAUACCUUGUACUUGUAGUCACUUAUAAUCUAUCCCUCUGUAGU